CCUACGGGAGGCAGCAGUGAGGAAUAUUGGUCAAUGGCCGGAAGGCUGAACCAGCCAAGCCGCGUGAAGGACGAAGGUGCCAAGCAUUGUAAACUUCUUUUGUCAAGGGACAAAAUCAGGCUCGAGAGCCUGACCGAGGGUACUUGAGGAAAAAGCAUCGGCUAACUCCGUGCCAGCAGCCGCGGUAAUACGGAGGAUGCAAGCGUUAUCCGGAAUGACUGGGCGUAAAGGGUGCGUAGGUGGUUUGACAAGUUAGUAGCGUAAUUCCGGGGCUCAACUUCGGAACUACUACUAAAACUGUUGGGCUUGAGUGCAGGAGAGGUGAAUGGAAUUCCUAGUGUAGCGGUGGAAUGCGUAGAUAUUAGGAGGAACACCAGCGGCGAAAGCGAUUCACUGGACUGUAACUGACACUGAGGCACGAAAGCGUGGGGAGCAAACAGGAUUAGAUACCCUUGUAGUC
Molecule: ribosomal RNA, 460 nt
Filed under: uncultured bacterium
Lineage: Bacteria
Description: partial 16S ribosomal RNA
Rfam family: Bacterial small subunit ribosomal RNA
Source: RNAcentral